This is an RNA transcript of Drosophila albomicans, 1271 nucleotides long. It is a transcript of the gene named angiopoietin-related protein 7-like, with no coding region annotated. The record is from RefSeq and is a predicted model, not a curated record. Lineage: Eukaryota; Metazoa; Arthropoda; Insecta; Diptera; Drosophilidae. The transcript is spliced from 3 exons.
UUAAAAUCUAAUUUUUAGUCUGUUUCGUGUUUGCUUCGUGUGUAGUUCGAGAUGACACCAGUUAAAUUAUAUAUUUCGCUGAUCGUCAUCGCAUAUGGAAGUUCUUCUUCCCUCGCAUCUGAAAAGCAAUUUUGUCAAAUAAGCCGAGAGAUGGAGGCCAAUUGUAGCAGAUAUACUUAUGAGGCUUUGAAGCCUUUACUUGUUUACGUGCGACAAAUUAGCGAGGAGAUCAACAAAAGUGAUGCAAAGGAUAAAGAAAUUAAAGAACUGCAAAACAAGUUGAUUCAAGAACAGGGAAACAUGCUGAUCAACAACGAAUUGAGAGCGCAAAUUGCUUUCCAACAGGCCACUAUAGAUAGAUUAAUCGAACGCAUAAAUGCGACAACGGGGGAGAAUUGUGAUAAUUGCAAAUCCGAAUUAGCUGAUAAUGCAGUCAAGUUCAAAGCGAAUGAGAAUCAAUUGAGGUUAGUGAAUGAAAAACUGGCAGAAAAUGCAGCGAAGCUCUAACAAUGCGAAUUGCAAACAGUUCCCAAUAGUUGUGUCGCGUUCGGAGAAAGUGCGGGUGCUCAUCAGAUUCAAAUUCCGGGACUAGAUGCAUUCGAUGUGCUGUGCGAUAGGGAGCUAGCCGGUCCUGGGUGGUUGGUUAUAGAGCAGCGUUUUAAUGGCAGAGAGAGUUUCAAUAGAGAUUGGGCCACAUUUCGCAAGGGAUUUGGUAGCUUCGCUGGUGAUUAUUUUCUCGGUCUUGAGAAAAUUCAUCGUUUGACAACUGAUCAAUUCAAUGAGUUAUACAUACACAUGGAACGAUUUGAUGGCAGCGUUGAUUAUGCUCGCUAUGAACACUUUGUUGUUGGCAAUGAGACGGACAAGUACCGAAUUAGCUUCUUGGGAGACUUUUCUGGCAAUGUUAGGGACAAUUUAAGGCCGCUUUUAAACAUGAAGUUCACAACGGAGGACUCUGAUAAUGACUUGUGGAUGGAAGGAAACUGUGCUAAUUAUCGACAGGCUGGUUGGUGGUACACAAAUUGUGUGGAAUCUUUUUUCCACGGCAAGUUCUACGAUCAUGAGACAAAAGAUUAUAGCUCAAUAUACUUUAAUUAUCCACGCACAAUAAAGAAGCUGAAAAUGAUGAUACGUCCAGCAUUUAAGAAGUGAACACUCAAGUAAACAACAAGUCAAAAAUAUUGCAAAUCUAAAAUCAAAAUCUUUUUGUAAUGUGAUCUUUACACUAAAAGCAAUAAAUAAAUCAAUAUAUAAUAUAAUCAUUAAAUUAA